GGGGUUUCCACUUAGGUGGUCAGUAGUUAUUUUUAACUACCACACACUUUUUUCUCACUGUAUUUUCACCAUUUUAUAUACACACAGGUUUAUGUCCACUUACUUUGGCUAACUUCCUCCUGCCACUAAUGGUGUUAUGCAGCUGAAUGGUAUUCUAUUUGAUGGUCCUUGUUUCUGAAUCACUGUUUCUGUUAACUAUAUUUACUGUUUGUAUAAUGCCAGUCUAGCCUUGUUAACCAUAAGUCACUAUUACGGGUACUUAAACACCUUAAGUUCUGCGUAACACCUUUUGCUACUUGGUUGAUGAUUUGCACUGUUCUUUAUGUCUCUGUAUUACCAUGUACUUUCAAUAAAGG
Molecule: long non-coding RNA, 356 nt
Filed under: Pelobates cultripes (western spadefoot toad)
Lineage: Eukaryota; Metazoa; Chordata; Amphibia; Anura; Pelobatidae
Source: RNAcentral